Molecule: unclassified non-coding RNA, 825 nt
Filed under: uncultured Prochlorococcus sp.
Lineage: Bacteria; Bacillati; Cyanobacteriota; Cyanophyceae; Synechococcales; Prochlorococcaceae
Description: partial 16S-23S ribosomal RNA intergenic spacer; may also contain 16S ribosomal RNA and 23S ribosomal RNA
Rfam family: tRNA (bases 361-433)
Source: RNAcentral
UUGUGGAGGAGGACGCCGAAGGUGGGGCUGAUGACUGGGGUGAAGUCGUAACAAGGUAGCCGUACCGGAAGGUGCGGCUGGAUCACCUCAUAACAGGGAGACAAACAUUGAUCAUGAUGUCUGAGUAAAUUAUUCUUAGGCCUUGGUCCUGUCACCUUAGGUCGAUCGGUACCUCAGAAUUAAGAAUUAAGGUAGAGCCUAUUUAUAUGCUCCUCCUUAAUUAUUGGUUUUCAGUUCCUAAACUUGUCUAGGUCACACCCAAGCAAGGGUUACUCCUGGGCCAUUAGCUCAGGUGGUUAGAGCGCACCCCUGAUAAGGGUGAGGUCCCUGGUUCAAGUCCAGGAUGGCCCAUUCGGUGUUGGGGGUAUAGCUCAGUUGGUAGAGCGCCUGCUUUGCAAGCAGGAUGUCAGCGGUUCGAGUCCGCUUACCUCCACUGACCGAAAAUCCUUAACGACCCAAAAGUUGAGGACCUUUGUAUUAGAUGUGAUUUGGACUUUUAAUUAAGCUGAAUGAAGAACCUAGCUUCCUAUCAUUCCCUAUUUAAAUUAUUAGAAAUUUAGAUGCGGUUGACAGGACGCUGGGCUCACUGUGAUUAAAUCGCAGGAGUUUUCAGCAGAACCUUGAAAACUGCAUAGGAUUAAGUCUGGAAAGAAUAAAGCAUCUCAUGGAUGCAUCCUUCUUUUGAUAACAAACAAUAUUUAUACUUAGGUAAAAAUAUUGUUAUUAUUAAUUGUAUAGAUGUGAAUUCUUGAGUUAAGAGCCAAGACUCUAUAGUUAUCUAUAUUUAAUUAGAAAAACUAUAGACGUUAAUUGGUCAAGCUACAA